UUCCUCCUUUCCUCUAUCCUUUUUUCCUCCUUUUCUCCUCCUUUCCUCUCCUUUUUCCUCCUUUUAUCCCUCUUUUUAUCCUUCUUUUUAUCCCUCCUUUUCUUGCUUCCAUGUCCCCAUUUUCCCAGGUGAAUCCCAGGGCCAUCCAGCCGGGGUGGUGGCCUUGGGGACAAUGACACCUUUCCCAGGCUCUCUGCCACCUCCCUGUCCCUUCCCAGGCUGUGAACAUCGUUCCCCUGACCCCGAUGGCCCUGGUGCCCCCGGAAGAAGGGGAGAAGAAGGACAACCCCCUCCUGAGCCGGCGGGGCGAGGUGCUGGCGAGCCGCAGGGAUUUCCGCAUGAACACCUCCACCCCGCACGCCUCCGGCGCCUUCCUGCUGGAGCUGGCCGGGCUCUCCCCCACGCACCCGCAGCAGGAGCAGCGCCUGGGCACGGCCACAGGUACCUGGGGCUCUGGGGUGGCCGUGCCACUGUCACUGCCACUGCCAGCACUCACCUGUCGCCGUCCCCAGCAGCAGCUCCGCGAUCCGGCCCCGCGGAGCGUCCGAGCGCCGCCUCCGGCACGGCGCUGGUGCGGGCACUGAGCUUCUGCGAGGAGGAAGGUGCUGCAGAACCUGACGAUGACGACAUUCCCGAGGCCCUGGGGAAUGACAUGGAAGUGAUCCCGGCCCCUAGCGAACACAUUG
RNAcentral lists this long non-coding RNA (686 nucleotides) under Lonchura striata (white-rumped munia). Its description in RNAcentral is "domestica (Bengalese finch) lncRNA (ENSLSDG00000015334.1)". Lineage: Eukaryota; Metazoa; Chordata; Aves; Passeriformes; Estrildidae. The record is from RNAcentral.